CAGCAGCCGCGGUAAUACAGAGGGUGCGAGCGUUAAUCGGAUUUACUGGGCGUAAAGCGUGCGUAGGCGGCUUCUUAAGUCGGAUGUGAAAUCCCCGAGCUUAACUUGGGAACUGCAUUUGAAACUGGCAAGCUAGAGUCUUGUAGAGGGGGGUAGAAUUCCAGGUGUAGCGGUGAAAUGCGUAGAGAUCUGGAGGAAUACCGGUGGCGAAGGCGGCCCCCUGGACAAAGACUGACGCUCAGGUGCGAAAGCGUGGGGAGCAAACAGGAUUAGAUACCCCAGUAGUCCCUGUCUCUUAUAC
RNAcentral lists this ribosomal RNA (301 nucleotides) under uncultured bacterium. RNAcentral describes it as "partial 16S ribosomal RNA". It matches the Rfam family "Bacterial small subunit ribosomal RNA", at positions 509 to 807 of the family's 1533-position model. The record is from RNAcentral.